CUUGAGUUCAUGUAAUAUUUUCAUUUCAGGUGAGGAGUAGUUGUUGGACAAAGGGAAGAAUACACACUGUAGGUGGUUCUAAGUAAGAACAGCUGUAAAGGGAUGUGGAACAUUGAAGCAAAAAUUUCAGAUAAAUGUCUGCAUACAUGGUACACAUGAAAGGCUCCACACCACAGUACUGAAGCAUGCUACUACAGGAGCCACAACAAAAUGGCUCCAAACACUAAUAAGGUGGAGAUGGGCAGUGCCGGUUCAUUUUUAUUCUUCCAGUGGAGUGCUGCAAUACUAUGGUGCAGAUAUCUGUGUACCAAGACUGAAGGCGGAUACCUGCAAACACACAAGCAAUUGAUUUUGUAAUAAUCAGAAGUUUACAUCCAUCACAUGUGCCAAUCUUCUUUGUAUCUACAGCUCUCCACAUUUUCUUACUUCUCCAUAGUUCUUCUUUCAGCAUGUUGUCUUCAAUUUUUUCUUUUUUUCACUAUCCAGCAUGUCACAUAUUAGCUGAAGAAGUCCACCUUUCACUGCUAAUAGUUAAUCAACUUGACUGUAACUUAAGUCUUUCCUGGUUUAUCAUGCUAAUUCCACAUCUUUA
This is a long non-coding RNA of Schistocerca piceifrons (Central American locust), 592 nucleotides long. RefSeq lists it as uncharacterized. The transcript has 2 exons. Lineage: Eukaryota; Metazoa; Arthropoda; Insecta; Orthoptera; Acrididae. The record is from RefSeq and is a predicted model, not a curated record.